UACGUAGGUGACAAGCGUUGUCCGGAUUUACUGGGCGUAAAGAGCGCGCAGGCGGUCGAUCAAGUCGAGUGUGAAAGCCCCCGGCUCAACUGGGGAGGGUCAUUCGAAACUGGUCGACUCGAAGGCAGGAGAGGGUAGCGGAAUUUCCGGUGUAGCGGUGAAAUGCGUAGAUAUCGGAAGGAACAUCAGUGGCGAAGGCGGCUAUCUGGACAACAACUGACACUGAGGCACGAAAGCGUGGGGAGCAAACAGG
RNAcentral lists this ribosomal RNA (253 nucleotides) under uncultured bacterium. Its description in RNAcentral is "partial 16S ribosomal RNA". It matches the Rfam family "Bacterial small subunit ribosomal RNA", at positions 524 to 776 of the family's 1533-position model. The record is from RNAcentral.